Molecule: ribosomal RNA, 253 nt
Filed under: uncultured bacterium
Lineage: Bacteria
Description: partial 16S ribosomal RNA
Rfam family: Bacterial small subunit ribosomal RNA
Source: RNAcentral
UACGUAGGGUGCGAGCGUUAAUCGGAAUCAUUGGGCGUAAAGCGCGUGUAGGUGGCUUGGCAAGUCGGUUGUGAAAUCCCGGGGCCCAACCCCGGAACUGCAUUCGAAACUGCCUCGCUAGAGUCCCGGAGAGGAAGGCGGAAUUCCCGGUGUAGAGGUGAAAUUCGUAGAUAUCGGGAGGAACACCAGCGGCGAAGGCGGCCUUCUGGACGGUGACUGACACUGAGACGCGAAAGCGUGGGGAGCAAACAGG